This 372-nucleotide ribosomal RNA is filed under the name uncultured organism. Its description in RNAcentral is "bacterial SSU rRNA". It matches the Rfam family "Bacterial small subunit ribosomal RNA", at positions 526 to 896 of the family's 1533-position model. The record is from RNAcentral.
CAGAGACUGCGAGCGUUAUUCGGAUUCACUGGGCGUAAAGGGUGCGCAGGCGGCCGUGUGUGUGAGGCGUGAAAGCCCGGGGCUUAACCCCGGAAUUGCACCUCAAACUACAUGGCUAGAGCAUUGGAGAGGGUAGCAGAAUUCAUGGUGUAGCAGUGAAAUGCGUAGAUAUCAUGAGGAAUACCAGAGGCGAAGGCGGCUACCUGGACAAUUGCUGACGCUCAGGCACGAAAGCGUGGGGAGCAAAAGGGAUUAGAUACCCCUGUAGUCCACGCCCUAAACGGUGCACACUAGGUCUUGGCGGAUUCGACCCCCCCAGGGCCCCAGCUAACGCGUUAAGUGUGCCGCCUGAGGACUACGGCCGCAAGGCUA